Molecule: ribosomal RNA, 448 nt
Filed under: uncultured bacterium
Lineage: Bacteria
Description: partial 16S ribosomal RNA
Rfam family: Bacterial small subunit ribosomal RNA
Source: RNAcentral
UCCAGACUCCUACGGGAGGCAGCAGUGGGGGAUAUUGCACAAUGGGGGGAACCCUGAUGCAGCGACGCCGCGUGGGUGAAGGAGCGUUUCGGCGCGUAAAGCCCUAUCGGCAGGGAAGAAGGAGGACGGUACCUGACUAAGAAGCCCCGGCUAACUACGUGCCAGCAGCCGCGGUAAUACGUAGGGGGCAAGCGUUAUCCGGAUUUACUGGGUGUAAAGGGGGCGCAGACGGCAGCGCAAGCCAGGAGUGAAAGCCCGGGGCCCAACCCCGGGACUGCUCUUGGAACUGCGCGGCUGGAGUGCAGGAGGGGCAGGCGGAAUUCCUGGUGUAGCGGUGAAAUGCGUAGAUAUCAGGAGGAACACCGGUGGCGAAGGCGGCCUGCUGGACUGCGACUGACGUUGAGGCCCGAAAGCGUGGGGAGCAAACAGGAUUAGAUACCCCAGUACG